AGAAUCAACGCUGGCGGCGUGCCUAACACAUGCAAGUCGCACGAGAAAGGGGAGCAAUCCCUGAGUAAAGUGGCGCACGGGUGAGUAACACGUGAAUGAUCUACCUCCGAGUGGGGAAUAACCAAAAGAAAUUUGGCUAAUACCGCAUAACACUUACGAGUCAAAGCAGCAAUGCGCUUGGAGAGGAGUUCGCGGCAGAUUAGCUAGUUGGCGGGGUAAUGGCCCACCAAGACAGUGAUCUGUA
This 244-nucleotide ribosomal RNA is filed under the name uncultured bacterium. Its description in RNAcentral is "partial small subunit ribosomal RNA". It matches the Rfam family "Bacterial small subunit ribosomal RNA", at positions 26 to 285 of the family's 1533-position model. The record is from RNAcentral.